Sinocyclocheilus anshuiensis is the source of this 273-nucleotide long non-coding RNA. RefSeq lists it as uncharacterized. NCBI's taxonomy places the organism in Eukaryota, Metazoa, Chordata, Actinopteri, Cypriniformes, Cyprinidae. The transcript is spliced from 3 exons. The record is from RefSeq and is a predicted model, not a curated record.
GAAAAGUUGCACAUUUUCAUUGCACCUAGAAUGAGCAAAUCAGCUGUGCAUCAUCUCUGGGAUUUGGGCAGGAAAUGACUGAAUAUGGAGGAUGAAGCCAGUUGAUGAAGAAAUCAAUUCAAUGGCCACCAACUGCCGCACUGCUGCCUGAACCCAUCAGGUAUCUGCUGUGAAGACUGCAUUCGCAAACAUCUCUACUGCGACAGCUCAGAUAUUACGGCCCAUAAAAGUAAAUUCACAACUGAACAACUGCAAGAUAGUUGUGGAGGGAUU